This 761-nucleotide ribosomal RNA is filed under the name uncultured bacterium. RNAcentral's name for it is "bacterial SSU rRNA". It matches the Rfam family "Bacterial small subunit ribosomal RNA", at positions 621 to 1397 of the family's 1533-position model. The record is from RNAcentral.
UCGCCCCCCGAACUGGGUUACUUGAGUGCUGGAGGGGAAAGGGAAUUCCUAGUGUAGCGGUGAAAUGCGUAGAUAUUAGGAGGAACACCAGUGGCGAAGGCGCUUUCUGGACAGUAACUGACACUGAGGUACGAAAGUGUGGGGAGCAAACAGGAUUAGAUCCCUGGUAGUCCACACCGUAAACGAUGAGCACUAGGUGUUGGGCUCGCAAGAGUUCGGUGCGCAGUUAACGCAUUAAGUGCUCCGCCUGGGGAGUACGUACGCAAGUAUGAAACUCAAAGAAUUGACGGGGACCCGCACAAGCAGCGGAGCAUGUGGUUUAAUUCGAAGCAACGCGAAGACCUUACCAGGGCUUGACAUCCCUCUGACCGGCCUGAUAACGACGGCCUUUCUUCGGACAGGGUGACAGGUGGUGCAUGGUUGUCGUCAGCUCGUGUCGUGAGAUGUUGGGUUAAGUCCCGAACGAGCGCAACCCUUGUCAUUAGUUGCCAUCAUUUGGUUGGGCACUCUAGUGAGACUGCGGGGACAACUCGGAGGAAGGUGGGGAUGACGUCAAAUCAUCAUGCCCCUUAUGUUCUGGGUACACACGUGCCACAAUGGUCGGUACAAAGAGUCGCGAGACCGUGAGGUGGAGCCAAUCUAAAAACCGAUCCCAGUUCGGAUUGCAGGCUGCAACUCGCCUGCAUGAAGUCGGAGUUGCUGUAAUCGUGGAUCAGAAUGCCACGGUGAAUGCGUUCCCGGGUCUUGUACACACCGCCCGU